RNAcentral lists this microRNA precursor (91 nucleotides) under Chlorocebus sabaeus (green monkey). Its description in RNAcentral is "miRNA (ENSCSAG00000020702.1)". The record is from RNAcentral. Lineage: Eukaryota; Metazoa; Chordata; Mammalia; Primates; Cercopithecidae.
UAAUUUCUAUUAAGUUGGUGCAAAAGUAAUUUUGUUUUUUUCAUUACUUUUAAUGGCAAAAACUGCAAUUACUUUUGCACCAAUCUAGUAU